This 75-nucleotide transfer RNA is filed under the name Schistometopum gregorii. RNAcentral's name for it is "tRNA-Leu". It matches the Rfam family "tRNA". From Rfam's summary of the family: Transfer RNA (tRNA) molecules are approximately 80 nucleotides in length. Their secondary structure includes four short double-helical elements and three loops (D, anti-codon, and T loops). Further hydrogen bonds mediate the characteristic L-shaped molecular structure. tRNAs have two regions of fundamental functional importance: the anti-codon, which is responsible for specific mRNA codon recognition, and the 3' end, to which the tRNAs corresponding amino acid is attached (by aminoacyl-tRNA synthetases). tRNAs cope with the degeneracy of the genetic code in two manners: having more than one tRNA (with a specific anti-codon) for a particular amino acid; and 'wobble' base-pairing, i.e. permitting non-standard base-pairing at the 3rd anti-codon position. Lineage: Eukaryota; Metazoa; Chordata; Amphibia; Gymnophiona; Dermophiidae. The record is from RNAcentral.
AUUAAAGUGGCAGAGCCUAGUAAAUGCAAAAGACCUAAACUCUUUCUAUCAGAGGUUCAAAUCCUCUCUUUAAUU